GGAUUCGAGGCAAAUAUGCAUCCAGAAAAGAUGGAUGACCAUGAAAAUGAGAUCCAACAGGCUGCUGGUGAGAGGAGUGAACAAGUACCCAUGUCACUGGAUUUCUCAGUCUUUGGAAUGAAACCACCUACUAGACCGACCAUUAACAGCGCUGACAGAACGCAUUUGAAGAGGAAAUUAGAUCUGGAAUUCCAACCCGAAGAGGAAUAACAUAUCUUUCUGAUUAUUUUUUUUCAUCUGGAUGAAGGCUGCUAUAUAGUUUAAGGCCAUAAUUUUGGUGAACAAGGAGAAGAGUCUUUAUUUCAGGUAUACUGGUGGUACAUUAUUGCAUCGAAUGUGCCCUCCUUUACUUUGAUAGUGCGAUGAUUGCCAAUAUAACGAUUGAUCUUGGAGAAGUACGUUGAACCAUGGCAAUAAAGUUUACCUAGUUCAUUCUUUAUCGUCGAGAGGAUGUAAUUGUAAU
This 463-nucleotide unclassified non-coding RNA is filed under the name Hevea brasiliensis (rubber tree). The record is from RNAcentral. Lineage: Eukaryota; Viridiplantae; Streptophyta; Magnoliopsida; Malpighiales; Euphorbiaceae.